This 14607-nucleotide long non-coding RNA is filed under the name Homo sapiens (human). Its description in RNAcentral is "non-protein coding WAC-AS1:9". The record is from RNAcentral. Lineage: Eukaryota; Metazoa; Chordata; Mammalia; Primates; Hominidae.
GUUUCCUCGCAUACAUUACCAUCAAUGCCCGGCCUGUGAGUGUGUGUCGGGGAGGGGGGAGAGCGGCCGCGAAAGGCGGGCGGGCGCGCAGGCGGCGGCGGCGGCGGGCGGCGGGCAGCCCCGGCACCUGGGCCCGGCGCGCCCUCGGCGACUCUCAUCAGCUCCCAGUUACUGGCGCCGGCGCUCCCGGGCCAUCUCCCUCCGUCGACACCACGCUCACUCUCAGCCGGGGCAGCGGCGCCAACUACACGGCGGCACCGCGAACCGGGGGGAGGGGGGCAAGACGACGCGUCCGGCUCAGCCCCGCGGAGAGCGACUGCCUCCUCCGCCUUCUCCUCCUCCUGCUCCGCCGCCUCCUCCCCUCCUCCCCCCGCCGCCGCCGCUGCUGCCGCCGCCUGGUCCUUCUUCUCCUCCUCCUCCUCCCGCCGCCGCCGCCGCCGCUGGUGCCGCCGCUGCCGCUCCACCAACUACAUCCGGGCAACUCGGACGCUGCCGCCUUCGGGAAACCUCGGCAGUUUCCGCCGGGCCCCUCCUCUCCCACCCUCGGCCUUCCUCCCCGCACCGCGCGGGUCCGGAACACCGCCCUCGGCAAACCUCGGCUGGCUCCGGCCUUUCUCCUCCUCUGAGGCCUGGAUCUUCUCUUCGCGACCAGUCUGCCCUUUCCUUCUUUUCCUCACUCGCGAGUCGGCCACCGCCGUUCCCGUUUAGGGAUAGUCUCGCUCGGGCGCCUGCUCGAGGCUGAUCUCAGGGGCUCCGGGCUGCGCAGGGAGGGAGCCGCCUUCCGGAAGAGGACGGUGGGGCGCGAGGGAAGCCAUCGCGGACUAAAUAAGGGAGGCUGCAGCGGCUGCGCGUGCGCCCAGAGGCGCAGCGGGAGGGGGUGCUCUCGGGCGAGCUCUCCGGCCGCGGCCCCCGCCCCUGCGCUGUCGGGCGGGGAGGUCGGAAACCCCCUGGCGAGACCACGGGCGGACGCUUCCCGAAGAGCUGCCUGGGCUGCAGCCGCGGAAGCUGCGUUCUGGGGAGCGGGGAGCGUGCUCCGGCGCCUUCGGGCCGCUGCUGGAAGCCGGAACCGAGCCCGGGCCGCUGCCCCUCACCGGACGCCGCGCGCCACCGGCCCUCCGCGGGGCAGGGGCUGCUGCGAGCUCGCCGGGCGCCCUUUAGACAGUCGUCCUUGUCUACUCCACUACCAAAUGUUGAAGUUCUUCAAGAAUCAGUCCUUUGGAGGUGAUGUCAUUGAAAAUGAUGAGUAGGAAACUCCAAGAGCGCAUUUCUCCACAAAACCAGUGAAUACAUUGGCACAAAUUGUCAGAAUCAAUUUUAUAUAAAUUCUGGAAAUUAGUCAAAGGUUUAUAGUAACCAAGGAAACAUCUUUUUAAAAAGAUGGCUGAGGCUGGAUGCUGUGGCUUAUACCUGUAAUCCCAGCACUUUGAGAGGCCAAGGCGAGCAGAGCAUUUGAGUCAGGAGUUAGAGACCAGCAAAAAAAUUAGCUGGGUGUGUUUGCGGGCACCUGUAAUCCCUCAGGGAGGCUGAGGCAGGAGAAUCGCUUGAACCUGGAAGAUGGAGGUUGCAGUGAGCCAAGAUCGUGCCACCUCACUCCAGCCUGGGUGAUAGAGUGAGACUCUGUCUCAAAAAAAAAAAAAAAAAAAAGUCUGAAUCCUGAAUCUCAGGAGCGCUUUCUAUCAUUUAAACUUACCCUGGUGCCACCUCCCUGUCCAGCUUUGAAAACAACGACAUGCAUUUCUGAUAUCUGUUCCUGGUGCCAAAGGGAGCAGGAUGGCCUUGUUUUCUUUUCUUCUUUCUUUUUUUUUUUUGAGAUGGAGUUUUGCCCGUGUUGCCCAGGCUGGAGUGCAGUGGCGCAAUCUCGGCUCACAGCAACCUCCGCCUCCCGGCUUCAAGCGAUUCUCCUGCCUCAACCUCCCGAGUAGCUGGGAUUACAGGCACUUGCCACCAUGCCUGACCAAUUUUUGUAUUUUUAGUUGAGACGGGAUUUUGCCAUGUUGGCUAGGCUGGUCUCGAACUCCUGACCUCAGGUGAUCCGCCCACCUCAGCCUCCCAAAGUGCUGGGAUUACAGGCAUGAGCCACUGUGCCUGGCCGUGGACCUUCUUUUCAAAGAAUUAUGGAGGCUUAUUUUAGUUCCCCUAACUUGGAAAUCUCCUGAGGAAGAAAGGUGACUACAGGCAUUUGUCAAAAAUUUGUAAAGGCAAGUUUAUUAGCCUCUGCCAUCGGGGGCAAAGAAUAAUAGCUAAGGCAAACAAUAGACACACCAAAAAGCCUGGGAGGAAAAGCUGGAAAGUAAGAUAUUUUGGAGAAUAAAGGCUUUUAAAACUUCCACAUAUUCUUGGGAAUCCAAAAGGCCACAUGUACAUGCAGGGUGAGCAAAUAGAGAAGACUUGAGAAAGCCUUAAACUCUCACCUCUGGCUAACCAUCAGGCUUGCUCAAAUAGGAAGUGAAAACUAAGGUGAAUUUGUUGCUUAGCUGAAUGUUGAAGGUGUGCCCCAACACUUACACAGAGCCUACUGGUAAAGACUGAGAGUGUUUUCUUUUUGUCUUGGUUUCAGGCAUUUAAGGAAAUCUGUUUCUCUUUUGGAUCACUAGCUGCAAAUUAAGCUAACAGAACAGGAGCUCAGCUGGUCACACACAGCAACGAAUACAGACUUUAUAAAGUUCAGAAAAGUUACCAAACAGUGGUAACCAUAACAAGUACCAACAAUGAACUAUGGGGAGGGAGGAGAAUCUGAUUUCCAGAGUUACCACAUUAUAAUACUAUUCAAAAUGUCACAUUUUUAGCAAAGAUUACAUGACAAGGAAAAACCAGAAAAGUAUGGCCCAUACACAGGUAAAAAAAGAAAUUAAUAGAAACUACCCCUGAAGAAGCACAGACUUCGGAUGUACAAAACAAAGACUUUUCAUCAACUCUUUUAGAUAUGCUAGAAGAGCUAAAGGAAACCAUGGACAGAGAACAAAAAAAUUAGGAAAGCAAUGUCUCAUCCAAUACAGAAUAUCAAUAAAGAGAUUGAAAUUGUAGAAAAGAACCAAAUAGAAAUUCUGGAGUUGAAAAGUAUUAUAACUAAAACUGAAAAUUCACUAGAGGUAUUCAGCAGCAGACUGGAGAAGUCAGAAGAAAGAAUCAACAGGCUUCAAGAUAGGUCAAUUAAGAUUAUACAGUCUGAGGAGCAGAAAGGAAAAAGAAUGAAGAAAAAUGAACAGAGCAUAAAAGACCUCUGGGACUCUAUCAAGCAUACCAGUAUAUGCAUGAGGGGAGUCCCAGAAGGAGAAGAAAGAGAGAAAGGGACAUAAUAUUUGAAGAAAUAAUGGUAGAAAAUGUCCCAGCUUUGAUGAAAUACAUGAAUCUAGAUAUUCAAGAGGCUCAAAGAACCCUAAAUAGGGUAAACUCAAAAAGACCCACACCGGAAUGCAAAAGUGAGCUGGGUGUGGUGGCACGUGCCUGUGGUCCCAGCUACUCGAGAGGCUAAGGCAGGAAAAUCGCUUGAACCCAGGAGGCAGAGAUUGCGGUGAGCCGGGAUUGCGCCAGUGCACUCCAGCUGGGCGACAGAGCGAGAUUCCAUCUCGAAAAAAAAAAAAAAAAAAAAAAAAAACUAUUGCUGCAGUCAUUCAGAUGGAAAUGGGGAAAGAAUAAUAUUAACUGAUUUCAAAAAGGACUUGAAGAUGUGAAUCAUCUAUUUUGCUGAAGAAAUCUUAACUCUUUGAAAUUACUUUUUGUUGCUGUUGUCAUACUCUUAGGUGCCAAACUGCGGUAAAUUUUUUAUCAGUGAAGUGGAAGCAUGUGUUUUGUUGUUUUGGGAAUUUUUAUCAAGUAUCUUCAGAGAAGAUUAUUUCCUGCUUUAUCUUCAAAAACUGGAAAGGAAGGGUCAAAGAAAAGACAGUAGCUGGCCGGUCAUGGUGGCUCAUGCCUGUAAUCCCAACACUUUGGGAGGCUGAGGUGGGCAGAUCACCUGAGGUUGGGAGUUCGAGGCCAGCCUGACCAACGUGGAGAAAUGCCAUCUCUACUAAAGAUGCAAGGAUUGGCCGGGCGUGGUGGUGCGUGCCUGUGAUCCCAGCUGCUCAGGAGGCUGAGGCAGGAGAAUCGCUUGGACCUGGGAGGUGGAGGUUGCGGUGAGCUGAGAUCACGCCAUUGCACUCCAGCCUGGGCAACAAGCGAAACUCUGUCUCAAAAAAAAAGAAAAGACAGUAGCUUAUGUUCAUGUCAAGCACCUCUCAUCACAGUCUAGUUCCAAGGAAAAAAUUCCCAGCGUUUUCUACAUUCGGUGCUGCGUCAUCUGAAAUCGGCACAUUCCAUGGAGGAAGGAGUCCUGCUUUGUUGCAUGUAUCCUAGGGUUUAAUGUUGGUAAAUGAGUCACUCUAGCAUUUGUAGAAGGCUCCCUGAGACUCCUGCAGCAGUCGACCAAGCCCAAGGACAUAAUUGAAUCUGGAGAGUCCUGGGGCCUUGUUUUGAAAAAGACUUGAAAUACACAUAGGAAGAAAGGCAUAAAAAUAAAUGUUCACUUGUCUCUGCUGUGAGUAUGUGUUCCAACUUUUCAGUGAUGGCUUUGAGAAUUCUCAAACUUGACUGGCUCUAAGUGUAUCUGGUGGCUUUUGUAUCGUAACCUGAAACUGGCUUAGUACUUUUUCCUAAAAGCUCAGGAUUUGAGAAUGAGGACCCCUUCGCCAGGAAAACAUGUAUACACUCAAAAUUUUGCUUGCAGUUCUAGGGUGUUUAGACCUUUCUCAGAUACCUGUGCAUCUUAUGGGUUUUGUUUUUCUCUUUGAGACAGUCUCACCCUGUUGCCCAGGCUGGAGUGCAGUGGCAUGGUCUCAGCUCAUUGCAGCCUCCGCCUCCUGGGUUCAGGUGGUUCUGCCUCAGCCCCUUGAUCGGCUGGGAUUGCAUGCAUGUGCCACCAUGCCCGGCUCAUUUUUGUAUUUUUAGUGGAGAUGGAGACAGAGUUUCACCAUGUUGGCCGGGCUGGUCUUGGGCUCCUGACCUCAGGUGAUCCGCAAGCCUGGGCCUCCCGGGGUGCUGGGAUUACACGCGUGGGCAACUGCGCCCAGCCCUUGUGUACCUUAUGUGAGGAAGUCCUGCUCAAUCAGGAUCGGUCACGCAGGCCCUGAUCUUGCUACUCUGGUUCCAUGUCCUAUGGAAGACCAAAGUUUACCAAGAUAGAUUUUUCCCUUCAUAGUGGCAGAUACUGUUAACCCCUGCACCAUCUAUAACUCAGAAAUCCCCACCAUUUCUUCCCCUGGGCUUCAGAAUAGAAUUGCCUGGUUUCUCUGAUGAUCAGCACACUUCCUUAAAACCCAAAUCAGCAAGGAAUGAACAAUUUUGUUUGGCAUGGAUGAAAUUAGCACUGUUUGGCUCGGUAGGCCCCAGACAGGCAGGCACCUUAAUUUUUUCCUUGCAUAUUCUAGUCUUCAGAAGCAUUGCCUUUUGUCCUACUGGUAGUGACAUAGAUCAAUAACAGGGCAUCUGGGGAUUUUAAUCCUGAAAACAGUGAGUCUGAUACUGCUUGUGUUUUUCAUCAGUGUCCACCCCGAGUGGGUCUUCCUGCUAUUCUCUUCACUUAGUUGCCCCUCACUUGCCAUCUGAGCAAUUGGCAAGGAUGUGCCAGGCCUAGGUUAAACUUGGAAACAUGCUUGACCAUUCUAUUCCCUGGUCCUUUAAGAUCAGUUUGGCUGCAAUUUUGGCUCCUUGGACCCUCAAGCAUAGCUGGUAAAUCAAGUUAGAGAUGUAACUGCCUUAAAACGUGCCAGCUUAGGCUGGGCGCGGUGGCUCACGCCUGUAGUCCCAGCACUUCGGGAGGCUGGGGCAGGCGGAUCACCUGAGGUCAGGAGUUCGGGACCGGCCUGACCAACGUGGAGAAAUUCUGUCCCUACUAAAAAUGCAAAAUUGGCCGGGUGUGGUGGUGCAUGCCUGUAAUCCCAGCUACUUGGGAGGCUGAGGCAAGAGAAUUGCUUGAACCCAGGGAGGCGGAGGUUGCAGUGAGCCGAGAUCACGCCAUUGCAUUCCAGCUUGGGCAACAAAAGCAAAACUCUGUCUCAAAAAAAAAAAAAAGUGCCAGCGUAUGAGGUAAUUAGAUUGGUUCUCUCCAGAGGUAACCUGCCAAGAAGAGAUGCUAUAGAUGUUACUCAUAUACUGUAAAACAUUGUGAAAUCAGAUUACUUUAAAAUGAUGUAUUACAAAGUUUUGCAAAAAAGCAGUUGUGACUGUGGAAGCCCAAGGCUUAUAUCCCAGCUCUGUCUUACACUAAAUAUGGGUAGAGUGUUUCCACUCUGUCCAUAAAAUGGGAGCUAAUAUUCUCCAACCUGUGUGCCUGACAUGAUGGUUAAAAGGAUUAAACAAAACAAUAGUUUGUAAUUUAUUCUGUCAGAGCACACUGCUGGUAAAUAAAAGGGAGUAAGUUGACUAAAACUAAAUUUAAAAAAAAAUCCUAAUAAAACAAGUUUGUAAUUUAUAAUUGUAUACAAAUAAAAGAUGUUACAAAAAAAAAAAAGACCCACACCAAGACACAUCAUAAUUAAACCGUCAAAAGUCAAUGACAAUCCUGCAAGCAGCAAGAGAGAAGCAAUUCCUCACGUACAAAGGAUUCUCAAUAAGAUUAAUAGCUGACUUCUCAUUAGAAACCACAGAGGCCAGGAGGCAGAGGCAGUGGGAUGAUAUAUUCGAAGUGCUGAAAGAAAAAACUGUCAAGAAUUCUGUGUCCAGCAAAACUAUCCUUCAAAAAAAAAAAAAAAAAGUGAAGGAGAAAUUAAGACAUUCACAGAUAAGCAAAAACAGAAAGAGUAUCUCACUAGUAGUCCUGCCUUACAAGAAAUACUAAAAGGAUCCUUCAGCCUGAAAUGAAAAGACACUAGACAGUGAUUCAGAUCCACAUGAGGAAAUAAAAAACACUGAAAAAGAUUUAAAUACAUAGGUAGAUAUAAAUGAAAGCAAUAAUUAUAUCUGUGUCAAAGCACAAUGUAUAAAGGUGAUUCAUGAUGAGGAAAAGAUGAAGUAUAGGAGCAAAAAUUUUGUGUACUAUUGAAACUAAGUUGGUAUUUAUUUGAAAUAGAUUGUUAUAAAUGAAAGUUAAUUGUAAUCCCUAGAGCAACUACUAAGAAAAUAACUAAAAAUUUUGGAAAGGGAAUAAAAAUGGUAUGCUAGAAAAUAUCUAAUACAAAAAAGGCAUAAGGGAGGAAUUGAGGAAGACAUAGGGAAAACAAAUAGCAAGGGGCAAUGUCCUUCCUACUAAUUACAUUAAAUGUGAAUGCCUUAAAUUCCAUUUAACAGAUGGAGAGAUUGGCAGAAUGGAGUCUUUUAAAUGUUCUAACUAUAUCCUGUUUACAGAAGACUGACUUUAGAACCAAAGACACAAACAUGUUGAAAGUGAAAGGGUGUCACCUUAGUUUUCUUUCUUUUUUUUUUUUUUUGAGAUGGAGUUUCACUCUUUUUGCCCAGGCUGGAAUGCAAUGGCGUGCUUGGCUCACCACAACCUCCGCCUCCUGGGUCCAAGCAAUUCUCCUGCCUCAGCCUCCUGAGUAGCUGGGAUUACAGGCAUGCGCCACCACGCCCAGCUAAUUUUGUAUUUUUUAGUAGAGAUGGGGUUUCUCCAUGUUGGCCAGGCUGGUCUUGAACUCCCAACCUCAGGUGAUCUGCCCGCCUCGGCCUCCCAAAGUGCUGGGGUUACAGGCUGAGCCACCGCGCCCGGCCAGCACCUUAGUUUUCUUGUGCUGCCGUAACAGAAUACCUGAGACUGGGUAAUUUAUAUAGAGCAGAAAUUUAUUUUCUCACAGUUUUGGAAUCUGAGAAACUCAAAAUUACGACAUUGGCAGGUUUGGUUGUCUGGUAAGAGCUGCUUUCUGCUUCCAAGAUGACACCUUAUUGCUGCAUCUUCUAUAGGGGAGGAAUGUUACAUCCUCAACGUGGCAGAAGGUAAAAGGGCAAAAAGGAAUGAAAUUCCUCAUCAGGCCCUAAGUUAAGGGCACCUAAUCUCAUUCAUGAGGGGAGGAGCCCUCAAGACUUAACCACCUCUUACUGGCUGGGCGCAGUGGCUCACGCCUGUAAUCCCAGCACUUUGGAAGGCCGAGGCGGGUGGAUCACAAGGUCAGGAGAUAGAGACCAUCCUGGUCCUAGUAGAGACACGGUGAAACGCGGUCUUUACUAAAAAUACAAAAACAAGAUUAGCCGGCCGUGCUGGCGGGCGCCUGUAGUCCCAGCUACUUGGGAGGCUGAGAUGGGAGAAUGGCGUGAACCUGGGAGGCGGAGCUUGCAGUAAGCCGAGAUUGCGCCACUGCACUCCAGCCUGGGCGACAGAGCAAGACUCCGCCUCAAAAAAAAAAAAAAAAAAAAGACUUAACCACCUCUUAAAAGUCCCACCUCUUAAUACCAUCAUGUUGGCCAUUAAGUUUAAAUAUCUGAAUUUUGGAGGGCACACAUUCAAACCAUAGCAAGUGGAAAAAGACAUUCCAAGAUAUCUCAGGUUCACAUGGAACAUUCUUCAGAAUAAAACAUGUUAGUCCACAAGUCUCAGUUUUAAAAGAUUGAAUUACAAAGUGCCUUCUCUGACUACAAUGGAAUAAAACUGAAAAUAACACACCCUUAAACAACCAAUGGAUCAAAGAAAGAUUAAAUCACAAGAGAAAUCAGAAAAUACUUUGAGAUGAAUAAAAACAAAAAUGCAGCACCCUAAAACGUUUGGAAUGCAGCAAAAGCAGUGCUCAAAGGCAAUUUUAUAGCUGCACAUGCCUACAUUAAAAAAUACCUAGAAUCAGCAACCUAACCUUCCACCUUCAGGAACUAGAAAAAGAAGAGGAAAUCAAACCCAAAGCUAGCAGAAGGAAGGAAAUAGUAAAGACUGGAGUAGAGAUAAAUGAAAUAUACAGUAGAAAAUAGAAUCCACAAAACCAAAAUUUGGUUGUUUGAAAUAAUAAUGUUCACAAACCCUUAAAAAGACUGAGCAAGACAAAAAGAUUCAGGUUACUAAAAUCAGGAAUAAAGUGGGGACAUUACUGCCAAUCUUACAGAAAUAAAAAGGAUUGUAAGGAAAUACUAUUAACAAUUAUAUGCUAACAAAUUAGAUAACCUAGAUAAAAUGGACAAAUUCCUAGCAGCACACAAACUACCAAAACUAACUCAAGAAAAAACUAAACCUAUAACAGUACUAGUUAAAAAAAAAAAAAGUAAACCAGUUAAAAACAAAAAACUUCCAAGAUAGGAAAGAUCAAACCAUGUGGCUUUACUGGUGACGUAAAGUAUUUUAAGAGUGCCAGUCCUUCUCAAACACUUAAAGUAGGGGAAGAGGGAAUAUCUUAACUCAUUAUAUGAUGCCGGCGUUACCCUGGUACCAAAUCCAGACAAAGACAUCACAAGAAAAUAAAACUACAGUCCAAUAGUUCUAAUGAAUAUAGAUGCAAAGAUCCUCAGCCAAAGUGAAUCCUGAAGCACAUUACAAGGAUAUCCACAAACAAAACUGUUAGAGCUAAUACCUCAAUAUCACAGGAUGCCCAGGAUCAACAUACAAAAAUUAGUUAUAUUUCUGUAUCCUUGCAAUGAACAUUUCAAAGUGAAAUGAAGAAAACUCAUUUACAGUAGUAUCAAAAAGAAUAAAAUACUAAUAAACAAGAUGUAAGACUUACACACUGAGAACUACAAAACAUAGUUGAGAGAAAUUUAAAAAGACCUAAAUAAAUAGGCAUUUUAUGUUCACGUAUUAGAAGACUUUGAAAAUGGCAAUACUCCCCCAAUUAACCAACAGAAUCAGUGAAAUUCCUAUGAAAAUUCCAACUGCCAUUAAUGUAGAAAUGGGCAGGUUGAUCCUAAAAUUCAUAAGAAAUUGCAAGGAUGUGGCCAGGCGCGGUGGUUCAACGUCUGUAAUUCCAGCACUUUGGGAGGCUGAGGCGGGCGGAUCACGAGGUCAGGAGAUAGAUACCAUUCUGGGUAACACGGUUAAACCCCGUCUCUACUAAAAAUAAAAAAAAAAAAAGUGUAGCCGGGCAGGUGGUGGGCGCCUGUAGUCCCAGCUACUGGGGAGGCUGAGGCAGAAGAAUGGCAUGAACCCAGGAGGCAGAGUUUGCAAUGAGCCGAGAUCGCGCCACUGCACUCCAGACUGGGUGAGAGAGCUAGACUCCAUCUCGAAAGAAAAAAGAAAAUGAAAAAAAGAAAUUGCAAGGAUGCCAAAACAGUCUUGGAAAAGAACAAAGUUAGAAGACCCACAUUUUGUGAUUUCAAAAUUUACCACGAAGCUACAGUAAUCAAAAGAGUGUGGUACUGACAUAAGGAUAGAUAUGUAGGCCAAGAAAACAGAAUUGAGAGCCCAGAAGUAAGCCUAUACAUCUGUGGUCAAUUGAUUUUUGACAAAGGUGUCAAGAUAGAUCACUGGGGAAUAGAAUAGUAUUUUUAAGAAAUGCUGAGGAUACUGGGUAUCCACAUGUAAUAGAAUGGAUUUGGACCCUUACCUUACACCACAUGCAAACAUUAAGUCAAAAUAAAUCAAAUACCUAAAUAUAAGAAUGAAACUAUACAACUAUUAAAAGAAAAUAUUGGGGUAAGUCUACAUGACCUGGGAUUUCCCAGUGGAUUCUUAGAUAUGAUACCAAGAACUCAAGUAGCAACAUGAAAAAUAGAUACAACUGGGCUUGAUCAAAAUUUAAAACUUUACAUAUCAAAUGACACUAUCAAGAAAGAGAAAAGAGAACCCACUGAGUGAGAGAAAAUAUUUGCAAGUCGUAUACCUGGUAAAGCUCAAAUAACUCUUACAAGUCAUCAGUUAAAAGACGACCCAAGUUAAAAAUGGGCAAAGGACUUGAAUAGACAUUUCUCCAAGGGAGAUAUUCUAAUGGCCAAGUACAUGAAGAGAUGCUUUGCAUCAUAACCUUCCACCUUAAGGGAAAUGCAAAUCAAAACCACGAUGAGAUACCACUUUCUAUACUCACUAGGGUGCUAUUAUUAAAAGACAAGUGUUGGCAAGGAUGUGGAGAAAUUGGAAAGCUCAUAAAUUGCUGGCGGAAAUAUAAAAUGGUGCGUUCAUUAUAAAAUAGUUUGAUGGUUUAUCAAAAUUUUAAACGGAAUUAACAUAUAACCCAGCAGCUCUCCUAAAUAUAUACUCAAGAGGAUAGAAAACUAAUCAAACAAAAACUUCUGCAUGAGUGUGUAUAGCAGCACUAUAAUAGCCAAUAAGUAGAAACAACCCAAAUGUUCAUCAAUAGAUGAAUGGACAAAUUGUGGUAUAUUCAUAUAAUGAAAAACUACUCAGCCAUAAAAAGAAAUUAGGUACUAGUAUAUGUUGCAACAUGGAUCAACCUUGAAAGACCUUGCUAACUGAAAGAAAAGGCCACAUCUUACAUGAUUGUAUUUAUGUGAAACAUCUAGAAGAGGCACAUCCAUAGAGACAGAAAACAUUGGUGGAUGCUAGGGGUUAGGGAAAUGUAGAAGUGGGGAGUUGCUGCUUAAUGGGUUUCUUUUUUGAGUGAUGAAAAUAUUCAGAUUUAGGUAGUGGUGAUACUUGCAAACAUUGUGAAUGUACUGGAAGGCACUGAAUUGUACAGUAAAAUGGUUAAAAUGGUGAGUUUUAUGUCAUGUGAAUUUUACCCCAAUAAUACCUCAAUAAUAAUUUUUUAAAAGUAGCCCCUCUCUUAGUCCAUUUUGUGCUGCUCUAACAGAAUACCCGAAACUUUAUAAAGAACAAACGUUGGCCGGGCACUGUGGCUCACGUCUGUAAUCCCAGCACUUUGGGAGGCCGAGGUGGGCAGAUCACGAGGUCAGGAAUUAAGACCAGCCUAGCCAACAUGGUGAAACCCCGUCUCUACUAAAAAUAACAAAAACUAGCUGGGCGUGGUAGCACAUGCCUGUAAUCCCAGCUACUUGGGAGGCUGAGGCAGGAGAAUUGCUUAAACCCGGGAGGUGGGGGUUGCAGUGAGCUGCGAUCACGCCAUUGCACUCCAGCCUGGGCAACAGAGCAAGAGAUUCUUGUCUAAAAAAAAAAAAAAGGAACUAUAUUGGCCCACAUUUCUGGCAGUUGAGAAGUCCUAGAUGAAGGGGCCACAUCUAGUGAGGGCCUUCUUACUGCAUCGUAACGGUGGAAGGCAUCACAUGAUGAGAGAGAGAGCAAGAAAAGGUGCUUUUGUUACAAGCCCAUUCCAUUAUAAUGAACCCACUCCCAUGAUAACAAGCUAUUCAUGAGGACAGAGCCAUCAUGACCUAUUCUCUAAUUAGGCCCUACCUCCCGACACUGUUGCAUUGAAGAUUAAUUUUCCAACACAAGAACUUUGGGGGACACAAUCCAUAGCAGUCCCUCUCUUCACUAAUUUCUUUCCAUGAAUUCUUCCACUCCCCUGACUUUUGUGUGUAGUUACCAUCUAUACACAGAUGCUUCACUAGAGGCAGUUUGUAUCUCCAACCCACAUCUUUUUUUUGAGUUCCAGAUGUGAAUAUCCUGCUGUUUACUUACCUACCACCUCCACACAUAGCUUCAAAUGCAACUUUGAAAUAUAAAACUGAGUUCAUUACCUUUUCUCCUAAAUUUGAUUAUCUGUGAAUGCUUUCUGUCUCACUAAAGAUAGCUUCCAGUCAUUGAGAGUUUGCUGUAUGUUUGGACUAAAGUGUUAAUCCAUUAAUUUACUUAAUCCUCACAAGAACCUCAGAUAAUACUAUUUUCCAUUUGCAGUGAGAAAGUUGAAAGGUAAAAUAACUUAUUGAAAUCACACACCUUUUAAGGAAAGGCUAGCCCUCAACAAAGGCAGCCUGACUUUUCAGAGCCUAUGUUCUUAAUGCCAUUGCUAUACCAUCCUCUAACUUUUUCUAGAGACCUAGAAGUCAUCUUUGUCACUUCUCUCCUUUACAUGCUUUAUCAAGUUGAUCAUGAGGUCCUAUUGAUUUGACUUCCUAAAUAACUCUCACUCCAUCCAGUUCAUUUCAUCUGCUACCACCAGCCUUAUUCAAGCAACCAUCUUUUGUCUAUACAAUGGCCUCUUAACUAACCUCCCAUAUUCACUGACAACAACCUAAUAAAAAUAUUUAUAAAUAUAAAUUUGUAUCUUACAGGUAGGGAAUUUAUAUUCUUCUCUUAUUAUGCCCAAGGAAUAUUUCCAAAUAUUAAUCAUAAGAUUGAUCACCUAGAAAACCUUAGUGAAUCAUGAAAAGUAGAAAUCUUAAGAGCUGCUUUUCAGAUGAUAGUGCAAUAAAACCUAAAGUCAACAAAGGUUGUUUUUGUUUCUUGAUGAUUUUAACUGUUGGUUUACUAUCAGUCUCUCCAACACUCCUGCCUUAAUUCUUGGUGAUUUUAAUAUGCACAUCAAUGAUCUUUCCAAUAUCUUGACCUCCAGCUUCUUGGACACCUCUUUUCAUUCCACUUCAGCCACUCCUUUGGUCAUUCCCUAGUUAGAUCUGCUUAUUACCAUUAACUGCAAACUCAAUUAUCUCAACUUCAUGCAUCCACCUUUCUGGCUGCCACAUCCUGUCUUUCCAGCUUUCCCCUCUAGAUCCCUAGCUCCUCAUAAUUAUUUAUCUUUGUUGGUAAUUCUAAUCUAUUGAUUCUAUCACUGUUUCACUGCCCCUCACCCUUAUUUUCCUCCUCACUUGGCUUAAAUUCCAUAGCCAGUCAUUGAUUGGAUAUUCCUUUUACCCACUGACAAAACCGUAACCCUAAUCAUUACUUAUCUACUCCAUUCUUGCUCCCAUGUAGCUGAACAUGACUGGAAGAAAAAUGCAAGAGUUUCACUUUAAAUUCUUGAAGACAAACCUCAUGUGACCUCAAAAUGCUGCCAGUCAAUCAAAUUAUAUUUUCUCCAAGUUUAUUCACUUGUAGUCAGCUUGGGCUGCUACAAUAAAAUAUCAUAAAGUAGGUAGCUUGUAAACAACAGAUUGUCUUCCUUCUGGUUCUGGAGGCUGGGAAAUUCAUGAUCAAGGCACCAGCAGAUUUAGUGUCUGUUGAAGUCCAGCUUUGUGGUUCAUGGAUGGUGACUUCUCACUGUGAGAAGAUAUGGUGGAAGGAAAGAGGGGUCCUUUCUUGAGCCUCUUUUAUAAGGACACUAAUCUCAAUCAUGAGGACCACCCCCCAUAACCUAAUCACCCUCCAAACGUGAUUAGGCCUUCCAAUACCAUCACCUUGUGGGUUAGGAUUUCAACAUACGAAUUUUGAAGGGACACAAACAUUCAGAGCAUAGCACCCCCUUUUCCUGAAAUGAUUUUAUGUAAUGAUUUUAUGUAAUUGUCUCUUCUCGAAUAUCCAACACUCUAUUCCCAGUCUUACCCUCGAUGAUAACUCUUGUUCCUAUUUCCUGGAGAAAAUCAGAGCAAUCAGAAGAGAUCCCCUGCCACUAAAUCUAUCCUUCUAGCAGCUUGUGAACUCAUAUAAUUUUCUUUCCAGCCUGUUACCAUACAUAUAUGCAUGAUGUCCAUGCUCUCAUCUAAAAUCAGCCUCUGCUUGUGUACUAGAUCAGGGUUGACAAAAUGCAGCCUGUGGCCCAAAUCCUGCAUUUUGUUUUGUUUUUGUACAGCCCGUAAGCCAAGAAUAGUUUUUACUUUUUUUUUUUUUUUUUUUUUUUUGAGACAGUCUUACUCUGUUACCCAGGCUGGAGUGCAGUGGCACAAUCUUGGCUCACUGCAACCUCCACCUCCCGGGUUCAAGCGAUUCUUCUGCCU